RNAcentral lists this ribosomal RNA (915 nucleotides) under uncultured archaeon. RNAcentral's name for it is "bacterial SSU rRNA". It matches the Rfam family "Archaeal small subunit ribosomal RNA", at positions 1 to 922 of the family's 1478-position model. The record is from RNAcentral.
UUCCGGUUGAUCCCGCCGGAGGCGACCGCUAUUGGAAUUCGAUCAAGCCAUGCGAGUCGAGAGUCUUAGGGACUCGGCAUACUGCUCAGUAACACGUGGAUAACCUGCCCUGUUCUAGGGGAUAACCUCGAGAAAUUGAGAAUAAUACCCUAUAGUCCACUACGCCUGGAACGGUGAGUGGAUCAAAGCUCCGGCGGAACAGGAUGGGUCUGCGGCAUAUCAGGUAGUAGUGGGUGUAAUGGACCCACUAGCCUUCGACGUGUACGGGUUGUGGGAGCAAUCGCCCGGAGAUGGAUUCUGAGACACGAAUCCAGACCCUACGGGGUGCAGCAGGCGCGAAAACUUGGCAAUGCGAGCAAUCGUGACCAGGGAACUCCAAGUGCGUAGGGUAAGACCUACGCUUUUCUUGACUCUUCAAAGGUCUUGGAAUAAGGGGUGGGUAAGGACGGUGCCAGCCGCCGCGGUAAUACCGGCGCCUCAAGUGGUAGUCGCUUUUAUUGGGCCUAAAACGUCCGUAGCCGGUCUGGUACAUUCGUGGGUAAAUCAACCCGCUCAACGGGUUGAAUUCUGCGAGCACGGCCAGACUUGGGACCGGGAGAGGUGUGGGGUACUCUCAGGGUAGGGGUAAAAUCCUGUCAUCCUGAGAGGACCACCUGUUGCGAAGGCGCCACACUAGAACGGAUCCGACGGUCAGGGACGAAACCUAGGGGCACGAACCGGAUUAGAUACCCGGGUAGUCCUAGGUGUAAACGCUGUGGACUUGAUGUUGGGGGCGCUCCGAGCGCUUUCAGUGUCGAAGCGAAGGUGAUAAGUCCACUGCCUGGGGAGUACGGUCGCAAGGCUGAAACUUAAAGGAAUUGGCGGGGGAGCACUGCAACCUGAGGAUUGUGCGGUUUAAUUGGAUUCAACGCCGGG